GCUUAACUACGAACGGUCAUUGGAAACUGGAAAACUUGAGGGCAGAAGAGGAGAGUGGAAUUCCACGUGUAGCGGUGAAAUGCGUAGAGAUGUGGAGGAACACCAGUGGCGAAGGCGACUCUCUGGUCUGUAACUGACGCUGAGGAGCGAAAGCGUGGGGAGCGAACAGGAUUAGAUACCCUGGUAGUCCACGCCGUAAACGAUGAGUGCUAAGUGUUAGGGGGUUUCCGCCCCUUAGUGCUGCAGUUAACGCAUUAAGCACUCCGCCUGGGGAGUACGGCCGCAAGACUGAAACUCAAAAGAAUUGACGGGGGCCCGCACAAGCGGUGGAGCAUGUGGUUUAAUUCGAAGCAACGCGAAGAACCUUACCAGGUCUUGACAUCCCUUUGACCGUCCUAAAAAUAGGGUUUUCCCUUCGGGAACAAAGGAGACGGGGGGCGCGUGGGUGG
Molecule: ribosomal RNA, 449 nt
Filed under: uncultured bacterium
Lineage: Bacteria
Description: bacterial SSU rRNA
Rfam family: Bacterial small subunit ribosomal RNA
Source: RNAcentral